UACGAAGGGGGCUAGCGUUGGUCGGCCUUACUGGGCGUAAAGCGCACGUAGGCGGGUUUGUAAGUAGGGGGUGAAAUCCCGGGGCUCAACCUCGGAAUUGCCUUCUAGACUGCAAGCCUGGAGGUCAGGAGAGGCGAGUGGAAUACCGAGUGUAGAGGUGAAAUUCGUAGAUAUUCGGUGGAACACCAGUGGCGAAGGCGACUCGCUGGACUGAUACUGACGCUGAGGUGCGAAAGCGUGGGGAGCAAACAGG
RNAcentral lists this ribosomal RNA (253 nucleotides) under uncultured bacterium. RNAcentral describes it as "partial 16S ribosomal RNA". It matches the Rfam family "Bacterial small subunit ribosomal RNA", at positions 524 to 776 of the family's 1533-position model. The record is from RNAcentral.